This 431-nucleotide ribosomal RNA is filed under the name uncultured bacterium. RNAcentral describes it as "partial 16S ribosomal RNA". It matches the Rfam family "Bacterial small subunit ribosomal RNA", at positions 338 to 795 of the family's 1533-position model. The record is from RNAcentral.
CCUACGGGAGGCAGCAGUAGGGAAUUUUCCACAAUGGACGAAAGUCUGAUGGAGCAACGCCGCGUGCAGGAUGAAGGCCUUAGGGUCGUAAACUGCUUUUAUAUGUGACGCGGUAGCAUAUGAAUAAGGAUCGGCUAACUCCGUGCCAGCAGCCGCGGUCAUACGGAGGAUCCAAGCGUUAUCCGGAAUUACUGGGCGUAAAGAGUGCGUAGGCGGCAUUGUAAGUUGGUAGUGAAAUUGUGUGGCUCAACCAUACACCCAUUACCAAAACUGCAAAGCUAGAGGACAAGAGAGGUCACUGGAAUUCCUUGUGUAGGAGUGAAAUCCGUAGAUAUAAGGAGGAACACCGAUGGCGUAGGCAGGUGACUGGUUUUCCUGACGCUCAGGCACGAAAGCGUGGGUAGCAAACGGGAUUAGAUACCCUUGUAGUC